RNAcentral lists this ribosomal RNA (498 nucleotides) under uncultured bacterium. RNAcentral's name for it is "partial 16S ribosomal RNA". It matches the Rfam family "Bacterial small subunit ribosomal RNA", at positions 899 to 1397 of the family's 1533-position model. The record is from RNAcentral.
ACUCAAAUGAAUAGACGGGGGCCCGCACAAGCGGUGGAGCAUGUGGUUUAAUUCGAUGCAACGCGAAGAACCUUACCUAGAUUUGACAUCCCUAGACCGCCACAGAAAUGUGGUUUCCCCUUCGGGGGCUAGGAGACAGGUGCUGCAUGGCUGUCGUCAGCUCGUAUCGUGAGAUGUCGGGUUAAGUCCCUUAACGAGCGCAACCCUUAUCCUCAGUUGCCAUCAUUCAGUUGGGCACUCUGUGGAGACUGCCGGUGUUAAACCGGAGGAAGGUGGGGAUGACGUCAAGUCCUCAUGGCCUUUAUUAUCUAGGGCUACACACGUGCUACAAUGGCCGGUACAGAGAGAUGCCAACUCGCGAGAGGGAGCUAAUCUCAGAAAGCCGGUCUCAGUUCGGAUUGAAGUCUGCAACUCGACUUCAUGAAGCUGGAAUCGCUAGUAAUCGCGGAUCAGAACGCCGCGGUGAAUACGUUCCCGGGCCUUGUACACACCGCCCGU